RNAcentral lists this ribosomal RNA (490 nucleotides) under uncultured bacterium. Its description in RNAcentral is "partial 16S ribosomal RNA". It matches the Rfam family "Bacterial small subunit ribosomal RNA", at positions 30 to 507 of the family's 1533-position model. The record is from RNAcentral.
AUUGAACGCUGGCGGCAUGCCUUACACAUGCAAGUCGAACGGCAGCGGGGUAGUGCUUGCACUACUGCCGGCGAGUGGCGAACGGGUGAGUAAUAUAUCGGAACGUGCCGAGUAAUGGGGGAUAACCAAUCGAAAGAUUGGCUAAUACCGCAUACGUCCUGAGGGAGAAAGCGGGGGAUCGCAAGACCUCGCGUUAUUCGAGCGGCCGAUAACUGAUUAGCUAGUUGGUGGGGUAAAGGCCUACCAAGGCGACGAUCAGUAGCGGGUCUGAGAGGACGAUCCGCCACACUGGGACUGAGACACGGCCCAGACUCCUACGGGAGGCAGCAGUGGGGAAUUUUGGACAAUGGGGGCAACCCUGAUCCAGCCAUGCCGCGUGUAUGAAGAAGGCCUUCGGGUUGUAAAGUACUUUUGUUAGGGAAGAAAAGGGAAGUGCUAAUACCACUUUUUGCUGACGGUACCUAAAGAAUAAGCACCGGCUAACUACGUG